This is a small nuclear RNA of Pteronotus mesoamericanus, 103 nucleotides long. The record is from RefSeq and is a predicted model, not a curated record. NCBI's taxonomy places the organism in Eukaryota, Metazoa, Chordata, Mammalia, Chiroptera, Mormoopidae.
AUGCUCACUUUGGCAGCAUUCACGCUAAAAUUGAAACAAUAGAGAAGUUAGCAUGGUCCUUGCACAGGAUGACACAGAAAUUCUUGAAGCAUCUCAUAUUUUG